RNAcentral lists this ribosomal RNA (519 nucleotides) under Bacillus licheniformis. RNAcentral describes it as "bacterial SSU rRNA". It matches the Rfam family "Bacterial small subunit ribosomal RNA", at positions 612 to 1128 of the family's 1533-position model. Lineage: Bacteria; Bacillati; Bacillota; Bacilli; Caryophanales; Bacillaceae. The record is from RNAcentral.
CACGGGGAGGGUCAUUAGAAACUGGGAAACUUGAAGUGCAGAAGAAGGAGAGUGGAAUUCCACGGUAGANAGUGAAAUGNGUAGAGAUGUGGAGGGAACACCAGUGGCGAAAGGAGACUUCUGGUCUGAAACUGAACGAUAGGCGAAACGUGGGGNGCGAACAGGAUUAGAUACCAUGGUAGUCCNCGCCGUAAACAAUGAAUGAUAAGUGUUAGAGGGUUUUCCGCCCUUUAAGUGAUGCAGCAAACGCAUUAGCACUCCGCCUGGAGAGUACGGUAGCAAGACUGAAACUCAAAGGAAUUGUCGGGGGCCCGCACAAGCGAUGGAGCAUGUGGUUUAAUUUGAAGCAACGCGAAGAACCUUACCAGGUCUNGACAUCNUCUGACAACCCUAGAGAUAGGGCUUCCCCUUCGGGGGCAGAGUGACAGGUGGUGCAUGGUUGUCGUCAGCACGGGUACUGAGAGGUGGGGUUAAGUCCCGCAACGAGCGCAACCCUGGAUCUUAUUGGCCAGCAUCCAG